Aphis gossypii (cotton aphid) is the source of this 905-nucleotide long non-coding RNA. RefSeq lists it as uncharacterized. The record is from RefSeq and is a predicted model, not a curated record. The transcript is spliced from 3 exons. NCBI's taxonomy places the organism in Eukaryota, Metazoa, Arthropoda, Insecta, Hemiptera, Aphididae.
UUUAUAUCAAAUGGUUUGUUAAUAGGUUUAAAUAUUCUAAAAUAAUUUUAUUUAAAUGAUUAUUUAUAGACUCUAAAAUAAUUUUACUCUUAAGUCUUAAAUGGAAAACAAAUAUCACCACUGGAAAUAGAUGAUACUUUAAAUAACUUUCAAAUACUCUUGGACAAAGUUAAUAUAACACAAUUUUGCUAAGGAGAUGUUAUUGCCAAUCAAAAUGCUAACUUUGGAGCAUCAUUUGAUGCCCAGUAUGUGAAGUCCAGUGGCCAAUGGUGACAUAGUAAUUACUUAACAAUUAUUAAAGAAGCUGACAAGUACAAUCAAAUUACUUUUAAAUAGUAUUGUAAGUUUAUGAUGUAAGCGUUUGAUAUUUUCUAUUCAAAGAAAGUGUACAAAACUUAAAAAAGAAGAAAACACCAGUUUAUUAACUAGAAAAUUAGUUAAAUAAAGUAAAAAAUGAAAUGAACGCAUUUGGGGACACAGAGAUAAAUGCAAUUUUUGAGAGGUUAAAUAUAUCAAAUUAACAAUCUGAAUUAACUUAAGAAAUAAUUGCUGCUGCUAAAGUAAAAAUCCCUAAAAAUCAAUGUUAUAGUGAAAACUGGAUGAUGCUGUGUUUAUUAUUUCAAAUAAGAUUUCCUUGCGGUUAUAUAUUUUUGUUAGAACAAAAGAUUUUGCCAUUACCUUGUGUAAAUGCACUGAGAAAUCACUUAUCACUUAUUGGCAAUUAAAGUUGGUUGCAGUUUUUAUUAUGUGUUCUUUGGAUUACCCAAGAAAUAUUUUUCUUAUAAAACUGAUCAUCAAAAAAAGGUAAUAUUAGUGUUCUACAAGACAUUUCUUAGGGAGAACAUAAGUGUUAAUACUAGAGCACUAACAUAUCUCGGACAAGAAGAGUUUGGUGAAGGCUUUGA